GGCGUCGUACCCAAGUGGUUCAAGGGGGCGGUUUGCAAAACCGUUAUUCACCGGUUCGAAUCCGGUCGACGCCUCCA
This 77-nucleotide transfer RNA is filed under the name Fidelibacterota bacterium. RNAcentral's name for it is "tRNA-Cys". It matches the Rfam family "tRNA". Rfam says of the family: Transfer RNA (tRNA) molecules are approximately 80 nucleotides in length. Their secondary structure includes four short double-helical elements and three loops (D, anti-codon, and T loops). The record is from RNAcentral. Lineage: Bacteria; Pseudomonadati; Fidelibacterota.